Molecule: long non-coding RNA, 1225 nt
Filed under: Helianthus annuus (common sunflower)
Lineage: Eukaryota; Viridiplantae; Streptophyta; Magnoliopsida; Asterales; Asteraceae
Description: hypothetical non coding rna
Source: RNAcentral
GAAAUGGACAUUGUAAUAAAUUUCACGAGUAGAUUCCUCUCUCGUUUUCCCAUUUUCAAUCACAUAUCAUUUGUUAAAAUAAGAUAAUAUUAGUAACACAUAAAAUAAGAUAAUAUUAAUAACACAUAAAUAAGAUGAAGUCAUUUUUUAAAAUAAGAUAAUAAUAAUAACAUAUAAAUUACAUGAAGAAUCCUUUAGUAAACUUGUCAUAUUUAAACAGUAACAUAAUACUUCGGAAAAUAUAUAGAGGUAGUUUUGUUUCUGUCAAUUUUUAUCUGUAAAUAAAAAGUCAUUAGUAGUUGAAAAACCCAUUUACAAUUGUUCUCUUGGUUAACCUUCGUAUACUCCUCAAAACCCCAAAACCCAUCAAAACCUUAGAUUAAGUCACCCAUAUCAGAUCUCAAACCAUCUCGCGCAUACCAAAUCUCGUACUAUCAUUGGUGCCCUAAUUUCUAUGAAAUUGAUACCGUUCGAUGAUUGAAUCUGUUUGGAUUGGAGCUAGAAAUCGAUUGAAUCCGUUUCAAUUGGAUUCGUGCGAGCGAAUCUGUUUCAAUUGGAGUCUGCGAGUGAAUCUGUUUCGAUUGCAUGUGUUUCGAUUGAAAACCUAGAUUCGAUCUUCGAAGAAAUCUGAUAAGAAGCUGAAACGAAUCUGAUUUUGAUUUUCAUCGAUUGGAUCAACAAUUACUGAAAAUUUGGAGAAUAAUUGAAGAUUAAGUUCUAUUGGAAGAAAUCGCUUACAAAGAUUAUGUCCAUCUCGUUAUUCUGGUUGUAGCUCUGCUAAACGCGAUAGAGAUCUCGGUGUUUUAUUAGCAGACUAUUUUAGUUCCGGCUCCCAGUUCCGGCAACGCUAGUUCCGGCUCCCGGACAUCGCUUUCAUGUCCCCUGCUCCUUGUUCCACUAAGACUAUAUAGUUUUGCCAUAUGGUUUGGUUGCUGGUUUGACUUGUAAACUUAUGGUACAACCUUAAGAAGCUAACUUACGAAGAGAGGAAACAAAAGCUUAUCGAGAGGUCGAAUGCUUUGAAUGAUGUUGCUGGAGCAAAUGAUGAUGACGAUUCAGACGAAUAUUGAUGAUUUUUGACUUUAGUUAAAUGUUUGUUAGUUUGUGGUUUAACCAUGUUAGAAGUAUGUUGAAUUCAAAACAGUUUUUGUAAUUGUUUUUGGUGAUUUUUCUUGUAAGCUUUUAGCAAAAAAAAAAAAAAAAAAAAAGCUGGAAUUUCUGGGUU